Molecule: ribosomal RNA, 468 nt
Filed under: uncultured bacterium
Lineage: Bacteria
Description: partial 16S ribosomal RNA
Rfam family: Bacterial small subunit ribosomal RNA
Source: RNAcentral
GACGAACGCUGGCGGCGUGCUUAACACAUGCAAGUCGAACGGAAAGGCCCUGCUUUUGUGGGGUUCUCGAUUGGCGAACGGGUGAGUAACACGUGAGUAACCUGCCCUUGACUUUGGGAUAACUUCAGGAAACUGGGGCUAAUACCGGAUAGGAGCUCCUGCUGCAUGGUGGGGGUUGGAGAGUGUCGGCGGUUGGGGAUGGGCUCGCGGCUUAUCAGCUUGUUGGUGGGGUAGUGGCUUACCAAGGCUUUGACGGGUAGCCGGCCUGAGAGGGUGACCGGCCACAUUGGGACUGAGAUACGGCCCAGAAUCCUACGGGAGGCAGCAGUGGGGAAUAUUGCACAAUGGGCGGAAGCCUGAUGCAGCAACGCCGCGUGCGGGAUGACGGCCUUCGGGUUGUAAACCGCUUUCGCCUGUGACGAAGCGUGAGUGACGGUAAUGGGUAAAGAAGCACCGGCUAACUACGUG